This 68-nucleotide transfer RNA is filed under the name Marmota monax (woodchuck). RNAcentral's name for it is "tRNA.Ala". The stretch from base 6 to 63 matches the Rfam family "tRNA", at positions 8 to 63 of the family's 71-position model. From Rfam's summary of the family: Transfer RNA (tRNA) molecules are approximately 80 nucleotides in length. Lineage: Eukaryota; Metazoa; Chordata; Mammalia; Rodentia; Sciuridae. The record is from RNAcentral.
GGAUAUAGCUCAGAUGGUAGAGUGCUUGCCUUGCAUGCACAAGGCCCUGGGUUCAAUCCCCAGCACCA